Molecule: long non-coding RNA, 417 nt
Organism: Hemicordylus capensis (graceful crag lizard)
Lineage: Eukaryota; Metazoa; Chordata; Lepidosauria; Squamata; Cordylidae
Exons: 3
Source: RefSeq, a predicted model, not a curated record
UAGCAUGAACACUCUGAAUGCACAUAGUAGAACACUACUGCAGAGGGGUGGUUCAAAAGAGGCUCGGUUCAGAAGAGGCUCAUAGAUGUUGAUGGAUCUCUACCAGAUGAAGAGUUACAAGACACCAUGAGGCCCAAGAGUUGUUGAAUGAGUUGAACCGGCUGCAAUGGACUUUGUCAGAAUUCAUGGAUCAGAUCUCUGAUACACUCUUACUGUUCAUUGGAUGAACUUGGGAAGAAAAAACUCUGAAGAACUUUAUCCGACAAGGAGCAACAGGCAGUGGUCAUCCAAGAACUGUGGAACAUGACACUGGCCUGCCUUUAAAUAGUAUACUGUGGGCAUGGAGGCAGGGCUCGGUCGCCAUGAUGAGCUGCGGCAUUCUACCAUGAGGGUCCUGCACAGGCGCAGAACCCCAUU